CCUACGGGACGCAGCAGUGGGGAAUAUUGCACAAUGGGGGGAACCCUGAUGCAGCGACGCCGCGUGGGUGAAGGAGCACCUCGGUGCGUAAGGCCCUAUCGGCAGGGAAGAAAAGCGAACAGGUUCGCCUGGACGGUACCUGACUAAGAAGCCCCGGCUAACUACGUGCCAGCAGCCGCGGUAAUACGAAGGGGGCAAGCGUUAUCCGGAUUCACUGGGUGUAAAGGGGGCGUAGAUGGCAUAGUAAGUCUUUU
RNAcentral lists this ribosomal RNA (254 nucleotides) under uncultured bacterium. Its description in RNAcentral is "partial 16S ribosomal RNA". It matches the Rfam family "Bacterial small subunit ribosomal RNA", at positions 338 to 593 of the family's 1533-position model. The record is from RNAcentral.